Non-coding RNA from Punica granatum (pomegranate), 2572 nucleotides. The record is from RefSeq and is a predicted model, not a curated record. NCBI's taxonomy places the organism in Eukaryota, Viridiplantae, Streptophyta, Magnoliopsida, Myrtales, Lythraceae.
CCUCUCUCACAGGCACAUCGGUUAGAGAGAGAAAGAGGCCUUAGAGAAAGAGCGAGAGAGAAAUGGGGAGGAUGUCUAGCGAAAUCGAAUCAGGUGUUUACUCAAGCUCCGCAAUCGGCCUUGGAUCCCCACUUGUCGGCCACCAGAGCGACGGUGAGUGGCCGUUCUCGAGCUGGACCGCCGUCGAAGGCGGCGAGGGAGCCGACCAGAAUGUGAGGUGUCCGAAGAAGAAGACCACGAAGAAGAAGAAGAAGCAGGUGCUGUUGGAAGGCUACGUGGAGGCGACCGGCGACGAGGAUGAUCUGGUGAGGACGAAGAGCUUGACGGACGAGGAUCUGGACGAAUUGAAGGGGUGCUUGGAUCUAGGUUUCGGUUUCAGCUACGAUGAGAUUCCUGAGCUGUGCAGUACCUUGCCUGCGCUUGAGCUGUGCUACUCAAUGAGCCGGAAGUUCAAUGACGAGAGCCUCAAGUCUCCUGAGGCGGAGGUGGAAGCCCCUGAGUCGCUGCCAGAGCCGGCCGCCAGUCCAAUCGCCAGCUGGCGGAUCUCCAGCCCUGGUGACCAUCCCGAAGAUGUUAAAGCAAGGCUCAAGUUUUGGGCUCAGGCUGUGGCGUGUACUGUCAGAUUGUGCAGCUAAAUUGCAUCUGUUUUCCUGGUUUACUCGACCAUUGGUCAGAGGAAAUGGAUGGAGAUUUUGAUAAACUGGGGGCUUCUACAGUGAGGUGCCUUGGGGACAUACCUUUUGCCUAGCCAGUUCAAGGCAAAUCUCCCCCUUCCAGGCGUAGGAAGAACUUCGGGAACAUUUUAAUAGGCGUUGGCUUUGAAGAAACGGGAAGGAAAGGAGGAUAUUCAGCUAAUAGGGCCCGUCCUCUCCUUAAUGAGGGAGCUUCGUCUCCAUCUCCAACUAACUCCAGACCUCUGCAUAUGCUGAGGUAACUAAUCUAACUGGUUGAAUAUGUGGUGCAUCAUUUGGCUGCUCACUACAUUUAUCCGUAAUUCUCUUGCACCCUCCCUAACCUGUUCGGACUCAAUCUAAUUUAUCCUAUGGCUUGAUGUGUGAACGUCUGGGGCCAGCCUUGUAGAGGCAAGUCAGAAGUGGGAUAGAUGACUCGAAGCACCCUUAUAGGUCCGAAAACUCUCUGUUAAUUUCUUUGCUUUUGUUUCAUUCCUUUCUUUGCUAAUGAGAAGGAUUCUGCCAUGAGGAAUGAGUAGAACCCUUUUUAUCUGCACCAAAGUGCAAUUAGCUGUCAAAUUGACUGACUUUUUACUGAAUUGUUGAAGAUGCCUGAGCUAUUGCAUACAACAGCUAGCUGUUGUGCGUAGCAAGUGUCCACCAUAAGUUCAAGUUGCCUCUCGCAGGGCAUAUGCAACUGAAUUUAACCAAAAGACUGAAGGAUCCCAGUUGUUAUGCAUCUGCAAUUGGUAUCUUUUCCUUGUUCAUUUUAAGUUAAUGCUCCACUGCAAUAAUAUCUAGGUUCUAUGCUUCUGUGCUAUAUAUUUGGUCCACUGAGUACUGAACCUGCUGGAAAUUGUUGCAGUAUGUUCUACACCUCAGUGGGUUCUCUGUUAUUUGGAGGGUGUUAAACUCUGCUGGAAAUUGUUGCAGAGUUUUGUCCACCUCAGUGGAUUCUCUCUGUUAUUUGGAAGGUGUUAAACUCUUCAAGGGUCGAAGAAGAUAUUCCACCAUGGUUAAUGUACUGGGCAGCUGCCUGUAACAAUGACUCUUCUACAUAGCAGAAUGAAUUCUCAUCUCUUUUGAUGAAUUAGUGGUAACUUCAUACGCAAUAAUUUGGUAGGUCUCCCUGCUAGAGUGACGAGGGCAUGAUGGCAGGUGUCUGGCCCCCAUACUUUUCAAGCUCUCCGGUUUCUUCCGUGACCCCCUCUGAAUUCAUUUUAUACACAGACACACACACACAAACACACACACACACACAUAUGUAUGUAUGACUGUUACUUUGGUUGGGAGGGGAUCUGAAGAGGCUUCGUAUGUUGCGAAGAAAAGUUGUGAAAGAUUUGGCUCCUUGUUUCAGAGGAUGAGCAGAGGAUAAGAAUUAGGAUAUGCUAAGAGCAAUUAUAAAAGGAAAAAGAUAUCUCAGUAAUGAUAACUACACAGUCAGCUUUGAUGAAACCCAGCGUGGCCCUACCUGAUUGGGCCAGGUCAGACCCGACCAUGCACAGACUAUGUCGGGCCUGUAUAUCGUGUAACCUGUGGGCUGGCUGGAGCUGACUUAGCCUUUGCAUAUAUGUGUGCACAACACGGGAGCUGCGCUUCGUGCAAAGUGAAUAUAAUUUCAAUUUAUAAAAUUAGAUCUUUAUAAAAGACGAUGAUGUAUGAUCUAUAUUGUUUGCAUCUAUAUUUUGAAAUGUAAGUAUACAUAUUUAUGAAUUUAUUAAAUUAUUAAAGUAUUAGCAACUAAUAAGGAGAAUGAGGAGUUGGAAAAAUAGAAAGUUCAGUGGCGGGACUUGUAGGAUGAGAGAGGAGAUGAGAGAAGGGAGGGGAGAAGAAUAAUAAGAGAAAAGUGGGAGAGGUGUGGUUGAUGGUUAGAAACAUAUAUGAGUUGACAUUUUUAUUCA